Hyaena hyaena (striped hyena) is the source of this 76-nucleotide long non-coding RNA. RefSeq lists it as uncharacterized. The transcript is spliced from 3 exons. Lineage: Eukaryota; Metazoa; Chordata; Mammalia; Carnivora; Hyaenidae. The record is from RefSeq and is a predicted model, not a curated record.
CACUGCUGGAUGUUCCGCCAGGGCAUUCUCCACCUCUGUUGGCCCGAUUCGGUACCUGGAGGUAUGGAUAAUAUCG